ACAUUUUCUGGAGCUACUGUGGCAAUCACUAGUCCUAAUCUUGGAAGGAACUGGAUUCUUUAUUCUCUUCCAGAUUUUGCGAAGGAGACUAGUCAAAGCCCGAGGAGAGAUAAGAACAUGGUGUGAUAUUUGAAGAUAAAUUGACAAGUAAAAGAAAAGCGAGAUGUCUUCAGAUCGAAGCUGCAUUAUACGAGCACUUUGGAAAUUACAGGAUUGCCAGCUUUGGGACAAAACAACAUUUGUGCUAAACAGCCGUAAGAGGAAUAUAAUUGAGAUAGCAGUGCUGUAGGAAGAUGAGCUGGCGUUCUCCUUUGAAGGUUUUAGAGCUUGACAGCCCACUUGUUAACAGAGGUGAGUCAUAGGUGGGGC
Molecule: long non-coding RNA, 369 nt
Filed under: Monodelphis domestica (gray short-tailed opossum)
Lineage: Eukaryota; Metazoa; Chordata; Mammalia; Didelphimorphia; Didelphidae
Description: lncRNA (ENSMODG00000043389.1)
Source: RNAcentral